This 524-nucleotide ribosomal RNA is filed under the name uncultured bacterium. Its description in RNAcentral is "bacterial SSU rRNA". It matches the Rfam family "Bacterial small subunit ribosomal RNA", at positions 21 to 518 of the family's 1533-position model. The record is from RNAcentral.
GGUUCAGGACGAACGCUGGCGGCGUGCCUAAUACAUGCAAGUCGAACGGUCUUUCUAUGGAAGUUUGCUUCCACUGAGAAGAUAGUGGCGAACGGGUGAGUAACACGUGGGUAACCUGCCCAUAAGAGGGGGAUAACAUCCGGAAACGGGUGCUAAUACCGCAUAGUUUUCUUGAUCGCAUGAUCGGGAAAGGAAAGACGGCCUUUGUGCUGUCGCUUAUGGAUGGACCCGCGGCGUAUUAGUUAGUUGGUGAGGUAAUGGCUCACCAAGACGAUGAUACGUAGCCGACCUGAGAGGGUGAUCGGCCACAUUGGGACUGAGACACGGCCCAAACUCCUACGGGAGGCAGCAGUAGGGAAUCUUCCGCAAUGGACGAAAGUCUGACGGAGCAACGCCGCGUGAGUGAAGAAAGGUUUUCGGAUCGUAAAACUCUGUUGUCAGAGAAGAACAAGUUGGAGAGUAACUGCUCCAGCCUUGACGGUAUCUGACCAGAAAGCCACGGCUAACUACGUGCCAGCCGCUGC